UACGGAGGGCGCAAGCGUUGUUCGGAAUCACUGGGCGUAAAGCGCGUGUAGGCGGCCGGGCAAGUCGGAUGUGAAAUCCCGAGGCUCAACCUCGGAACUGCAUUCGAAACUGCUCGGCUCGAGUCCCGGAGAGGAUGGCGGAAUUCCCGGUGUAGGGGUGAAAUCCGUAGAUAUCGGGAGGAACACCAGUGGCGAAGGCGGCCAUCUGGACGGUGACUGACGCUGAGGCACGAAAGCGUGGGGAGCGAACAGG
RNAcentral lists this ribosomal RNA (253 nucleotides) under uncultured bacterium. Its description in RNAcentral is "partial 16S ribosomal RNA". It matches the Rfam family "Bacterial small subunit ribosomal RNA", at positions 524 to 776 of the family's 1533-position model. The record is from RNAcentral.